UAUCUCUAGAAGACAUCUGAAAGAGAUUAAAGAUUUAUCGGUGAUGGAUGGGGAUGCGUCUGAUUAGCUUGUUGGCGGGGUAACGGCCCACCAAGGCAACGAUCAGUAGGGGUUCUGAGAGGAAGGUCCCCCACAUUGGAACUGAGACACGGUCCAAACUCCUACGGGAGGCAGCAGUGAGGAAUAUUGGUCAAUGGACGAGAGUCUGAACCAGCCAAGUAGCGUGCAGGAUGACGGCCCUAUGGGUUGUAAACUGCUUUUAUAAGGGAAUAAAGUGAGUCUCGUGAGACUUUUUGCAUGUACCUUAUGAAUAAGGACCGGCUAAUUCCGUGCCAGCAGCCGCGGUAAUACGGAAGGUCCGGGUGUUAUCCGGAUUUAUUGGGUUUAAAGGGAGCGUAGGCCGGAGAUUAAGCGUGUUGUGAAAUGUAGACGCUCAACGUCUGCACUGCAGCGCGAACUGGUUUCCUUGAGUACGCACAAAGUGGGCGGAAUUCGUGGUGUAGCGGUGAAAUGCUUAGAUAUCACGAAGAACUCCGAUUGCGAAGGCAGCUCACUGGAGCGCAACUGACGCUGAAGCUCGAAAGUGCGGGUAUCGAACAGGAUUAGAUACCCUGGUAGUCCGCA
Molecule: ribosomal RNA, 624 nt
Filed under: uncultured bacterium
Lineage: Bacteria
Description: bacterial SSU rRNA
Rfam family: Bacterial small subunit ribosomal RNA
Source: RNAcentral